RNAcentral lists this ribosomal RNA (458 nucleotides) under uncultured bacterium. RNAcentral describes it as "partial 16S ribosomal RNA". It matches the Rfam family "Bacterial small subunit ribosomal RNA", at positions 338 to 795 of the family's 1533-position model. The record is from RNAcentral.
CCUACGGGCGGCAGCAGUGAGGAAUAUUGGUCAAUGGGCGAGAGCCUGAACCAGCCAAGUCGCGUGAGGGAGUACUGCCCUAUGGGUUGUAAACCUCUUUUGCCGGGGAGCAAAAGCCGGACGUGUCCGGCUGCGAGAGUACCCGAAGAAAAAGCAGCGGGCAACUCCGUGCCCGCAGGCGCGGGAAAAAGGAGGAUGCGAGCGUUAGCCGGAUUGAUUGGGGUUAAAGGGGGCGCAGGCUGGUUUUUAAGUCAGCGGUCAAAUCGUGCGGCUCAACCCCGUCCAGCCGUUGAAACUGGGGAUCUAGAGUGUGCGAGAGGUAUGCGGAAUGCGUGGUGUAGCGGUGAAAUGCAUAGAUAUCACGCAGAACCCCGAUUGCGAAGGCAGCAUACCGGUGCACGACUGACGCUCAGGCACGAAGGCGUGGGUAUCGAACAGGAUUAGAUACCCGAGUAGUC